GGGCCCGCACAAGCGGAGGAACAUGUGGUUUAAUUCGAUGAUACGCGAGGAACCUUACCCGGGCUCGAACGGUGUUUGAAUGUAUGUGAAAGCAUGCAGCCAGCAAUGGCAGACAUCGAGGUGCUGCAUGGUUGUCGUCAGCUCGUGCCGUGAGGUGUCGGCUUAAGUGCCAUAACGAGCGCAACCCUUAUCGGUAGUUACCAUCAGGUGAAGCUGGGGACUCUACUGAGACUGCCACCGUAAGGUGUGAGGAAGGUGGGGAUGACGUCAAAUCAGCACGGCCCUUACGUCCGGGGCGACACACGUGUUACAAUGGGUGGGACAGAAAGCAGCUACACAGCGAUGUGAUGCGAAUCUCCAAACCCACUCCCAGUUCGGAUCGAAGUCUGCAACCCGACUUCGUGAAGCUGGAUUCGCUAGUAAUCGCGCAUCAGCCAUGGCG
Molecule: ribosomal RNA, 442 nt
Filed under: uncultured Bacteroidota bacterium
Lineage: Bacteria; Pseudomonadati; Bacteroidota
Description: bacterial SSU rRNA
Rfam family: Bacterial small subunit ribosomal RNA
Source: RNAcentral